RNAcentral lists this ribosomal RNA (875 nucleotides) under bacterium enrichment culture clone bHCH1_A8. RNAcentral's name for it is "bacterial SSU rRNA". It matches the Rfam family "Bacterial small subunit ribosomal RNA", at positions 55 to 939 of the family's 1533-position model. The record is from RNAcentral.
AUGGCAAGUUCGAAGCGAGGGGAAGUUCUUCGGAAACAAACCUAGCGGCGGACGGGUGAGUAACACGUGGGCAACCUGCCUCAAAGAGGGGAAUAGCCUCCCGAAAGGGAGAUUAAUACCGCAUAAAGUUAUUUUUUCGCAUGAAGAGAUAACCAAAGGAGCAAUCCGCUUUGAGAUGGGCCCGCGGCGCAUUAGCUAGUUGGUGAGGUAACGGCUCACCAAGGCGACGAUGCGUAGCCGACCUGAGAGGGUGAUCGGCCACAUUGGAACUGAGACACGGUCCAGACUCCUACGGGAGGCAGCAGUGGGGAAUAUUGCGCAAUGGGGGAAACCCUGACGUAGCAACGCCGCGUGAGCGAUGAAGGUCUUCGGAUUGUAAAGCUCUGUCUUUUGGGACGAUAAUGACGGUACCAAAGGAGGAAGCCACGGCUAACUACGUGCCAGCAGCCGCGGUAAUACGUAGGUGGCAAGCGUUGUCCGGAUUUACUGGGCGUAAAGAGUAUGUAGGCGGACAUUUAAGUCAGAUGUGAAAUUCCCGGGCUUAACCUGGGAGCUGCAUUUGAUACUGGAUGUCUAGAGUGCAGGAGAGGAAAGUGGAAUUCCUAGUGUAGCGGUGAAAUGCGUAGAGAUUAGGAAGAACACCAGUGGCGAAGGCGACUUUCUGGACUGUAACUGACGCUGAGAUACGAAAGCGGUGGGGAGCAAACAGGAUUAGAUACCCUGGUAGUCCACGCCGUAAACGAUGAAUACUAGGUGUCGGAGGGUACCACCUUCGGUGCCCGCAGCAAACGCAAUAAGUAUUCCGCCUGGGGAGUACGGUCGCAAGAUUAAAACUCAAAGGAAUUGACGGGGGACCCGCCACAAGCAGCGGAGCA